GCGUUCCACACACAGGAAGAGAGUUUUUUUCUUUCGCGGCAACUUCCGGGUUUCCCUCGAGCGGGAGUCAGUCGUCCGCAAAAGCAGCUCUCUUCAUACGGUAUGUCCCCUACAGCUUUUCAGAGUAAAGCAAGCUGAGAACCGAACACAAAUAAAGCAUCCACUUCACAGGCUACACAGAUAAUUCAUCACACGGUGAAAGCUCUAUACUUCAGCAUACAAGGAGGGGGAGUAUAUAGAGGAACACAGGGGUCUGUACAAGGACGUGAUGAUGGAGAAUCACCGGCCCCUCACAUCACUGGGUAAGAGGAGACUGUCAUGUAUUGUA
This is a long non-coding RNA of Pseudophryne corroboree (corroboree frog), 328 nucleotides long. RefSeq lists it as uncharacterized. NCBI's taxonomy places the organism in Eukaryota, Metazoa, Chordata, Amphibia, Anura, Myobatrachidae. The record is from RefSeq and is a predicted model, not a curated record. The transcript has 3 exons.